CCUUUCUUGUAAUGGCACCGUAUAGAAAUAUCAGGUUUGUUGAAUCAAUCCUAACACCGCUUGUCACCCACAGACCAAGUUUUGUACAAGACACUACAGACUUUCUAUGGAAACUUAAA
Molecule: long non-coding RNA, 119 nt
Organism: Gavialis gangeticus (Gharial)
Lineage: Eukaryota; Metazoa; Chordata; Crocodylia; Gavialidae
Exons: 4
Source: RefSeq, a predicted model, not a curated record